RNAcentral lists this ribosomal RNA (443 nucleotides) under uncultured bacterium. RNAcentral's name for it is "bacterial SSU rRNA". It matches the Rfam family "Bacterial small subunit ribosomal RNA", at positions 335 to 795 of the family's 1533-position model. The record is from RNAcentral.
ACUCCUACGGGAGGCAGCAGUGGGGAAUAUUGCACAAUGGGGGAAACCCUGAUGCAGCAACGCCGCGUGAGUGAUGACGGCCUUCGGGUUGUAAAGCUCUGUCUUCAGGGACGAUAAUGACGGUACCUGAGGAGGAAGCCACGGCUAACUACGUGCCAGCAGCCGCGGUAAUACGUAGGUGGCAAGCGUUGUCCGGAUUUACUGGGCGUAAAGGGAGCGUAGGCGGACUUUUAAGUGAGAUGUGAAAUACCCGGGCUUAACCUGGGUGCUGCAUUUCAAACUGGAAGUCUAGAGUGCAGGAGAGGAGAAUGGAAUUCCUAGUGUAGCGGUGAAAUGCGUAGAGAUUAGGAAGAACACCAGUGGCGAAGGCGAUUCUCUGGACUGUAACUGACGCUGAGGCUCGAAAGCGUGGGGAGCAAACAGGAUUAGAUACCCUGGUAGUC